RNAcentral lists this ribosomal RNA (504 nucleotides) under uncultured bacterium. RNAcentral describes it as "partial 16S ribosomal RNA". It matches the Rfam family "Bacterial small subunit ribosomal RNA", at positions 29 to 523 of the family's 1533-position model. The record is from RNAcentral.
AUUGAACGCUGGCGGCACGCUUAACACAUGCAAGUCGAACGGCAGCGGGGGGAGCUUGCUCCCUGCCGGCGAGUGGCGAACGGGUGAGUAACGCGUAGGGAUCUGCCUGUUAGAGGGGGAUAAGCCGUGGAAACGCGGUCUAAUACCGCAUACGCUCUAAGGAGGAAAGUAUGGGACCGAAAGGCCAUACGCUAACAGAUGAAACUGCGUUAGAUUAGCUAGUUGGUAGGGUAAAGGCCUACCAAGGCGACGAUCUAUAGCUGGUCUGAGAGGAUGACCAGCCACACUGGAACUGAGAUACGGACCAGACUCCUACGGGAGGCAGCAGUGGGGAAUAUUGGACAAUGGGGGCAACCCUGAUCCAGCGAUGCCGCGUGUGUGAAGAAGGCCUGAGGGUUGUAAAGCACUUUAGUUGGGGAGGAAAGCCUGAGGAUGAAUAAGCCUUAGGGGAGACGUUACCCAAAGAAUAAGCACCGGCUAACUCUGUGCCAGCCGCCGCGGUAA